GAUGAACGCUGGCGGCGUGCCUAAUACAUGCAAGUCGAGCGAACGGACGAGAAGCUUGCUUCUCUGAUGUUAGCGGCGGACGGGUGAGUAACACGUGGAUAACCUACCUAUAAGACUGGGAUAACUUCGGGAAACCGGAGCUAAUACCGGAUAAUAUUUUGAACCGCAUGGUUCAAAAGUGAAAGACGGUCUUGCUGUCACUUAUAGAUGGAUCCGCGCUGCAUUAGCUAGUUGGUAAGGUAACGGCUUACCAAGGCAACGAUGCAUAGCCGACCUGAGAGGGGGAUAGGCCACACUGGAACUGAGACACGGUCCAGGCUCCUACGGGAGGCAGCAGUAGGGAAUCUUCCGCAAUGGGCGAAAGCCUGACGGAGCAACGCCGCGUGAGUGAUGAAGGUCUUCGGAUCGUAAAACUCUGUUAUUAGGGAAGAACAUAUGUGUAAGUAACUGUGCACAUCUUGACGGUACCUAAUCAGAAAGCCACGGCUAACUACGUG
Molecule: ribosomal RNA, 497 nt
Filed under: uncultured bacterium
Lineage: Bacteria
Description: partial 16S ribosomal RNA
Rfam family: Bacterial small subunit ribosomal RNA
Source: RNAcentral